GAAAGGAGUGGUGGACUGCUAGGAAGAGAGAAUGCCGGAAUGAGUAGCGAGAUGAAGGUGAGAAUCCUUCAGGCCGAAUAUCUAAGGUUUCCAGAGUAAAGCUGACCUGCUCUGGGUAAGUCGGGACCUAAGGCGAGGUCGAAAGACGUAGUCGAUGGAUAACAGGUUGAAAUUCCUGUACCGCAUAUAAACAGAACUGUGGGGACACAGACAGGGAAUGGAAUCCGGGGAUGGAGAACCCGGAGCAAGCGAGGUAGGAGUGCUGUUGGCAAAUCCGCAGCACGAUCUGAAGACGUGAUGCGUACCGAACAUAAGUAGGGAAGUCCAGGCCCCUGGCUGUCAAGAAAAGCCGCUAUUGUUUUAUAUGUGCCCGUACCGCAAACCGACACAGGUGGAUGAGGAGAGAAUCCUAAGGCCGACGGGAGAAGUAUUGUUAAGGAACUCGGCAAAAUGACUCCGUAACUUCGGGAGAAGGAGUGCCAUGAGAGUGGCCGCAGAGAAAUGGCCCAAGCAACUGUUUAGCAAAAACACAGGUCUAUGCAAAACCGCAAGGUGAAGUAUAUGGGCUGACGCCUGCCCGGUGCUGGAAGGUUAAGGGGAGAGGUUAGCGCAAGCGAAGCUUUGAACUUAAGCCCCAGUAAACGGCGGCCGUAACAAUAACGGUCCUAAGGUAGCGAAAUUCCUUGUCGGGUAAGUUCCGACCCGCACGAAAGGCGUAAUGAUUUGGGCACUGUCUCAACGAUACACCCGGUGAAAUUGAAAUACCAGUGAAGAUGCUGGUUACUUGCGCCAGGACGGAAAGACCCCAUGGAGCUUUACUCCAGUUUGAUACUGGGAUUCGGCAUGGUAUGUACAGGAUAGGUGGGAGACUGAGAAGGUAUGACGUCAGUUGUACCGGAGUCGCUGUUGGGAUACCACCCUUACCAUGUUGGAUUUCUAACCUGUGGCCGUGAACCGGUCAGGGGACAAUGUCAGGCGGGGAGUUUGACUGGGGCGGUCGCCUCCGAAAGGGUAUCGGAGGCGCUCAAAGGUUCCCUCAGAAUGGUUGGAAACCAUUCGAAGAGUGCAAAGGCAGAAGGGAGCUUGACUGUGACACCGACGGGUGGAGCAGGUACGAAAGUAGGACUUAGUGAUCCGGUGGUAUAAAGUGGGAUUGCCAUCGCUCAACGGAUAAAAGCUACCCUGGGGAUAACAGGCUUAUCACUCCCAAGAGUUCACAUCGACGGAGUGGUUUGGCACCUCGAUGUCGGCUCAUCGCAUCCUGGAGCUGUAGCAGGUUCCAAGGGUUGGGCUGUUCGCCCAUUAAAGCGGUACGCGAGCUGGGUUCAGAACGUCGUGAGACAGUUCGGUCCCUAUCCGGCGCAGGCGGAGGAAAUUUGAUAGGAGCUGUCCUUAGUACGAGAGGACCGGGAUGGACGGACCGCUGGUGUAUCUGUUGUACUGCCAAGUGCAUCGCAGAGUAGCCAAGUCUGGAAGGGAUAAACGCUGAAGGCAUCUAAGCGUGAAGCCCCCCUAAAGAUAAGAUUUCCCAUACCGAAAGGUAGUAAGACCCCUUGAAGACGACGAGGUAGAUAGGGCAGAGGUGGAAGUGUGGUAACGCAUGGAGCUGACUGUUACUAAUCGGUCGAGGCUUUAACU
Molecule: ribosomal RNA, 1638 nt
Filed under: metagenome
Description: bacterial LSU rRNA
Rfam family: Bacterial large subunit ribosomal RNA
Source: RNAcentral